UGGGGAAUAUUGGGCAAUGGGCGAAAGCCUGACCCAGCAACGCCGCGUGAGGGAAGAAGGUCUUCGGAUUGUAAACCUUUGUCCUAUGGGACGAAACAAAUGACGGUACCAUAGGAGGAAGCUCCGGCUAACUACGUGUCAGCAGCCGCGGUAAUACGUAGGGAGCAAGCGUUGUCCGGAAUUACUGGGCGUAAAGGGUGCGUAGGUGGCCAUGUAAGUUAGGUGUGAAAGACCGGGGCUUAACCCCGGGGGCGGCACUUAAAACUGUGUGGCUUGAGUACAGGAGAGGGAAGUGGAAUUCCUAGUGUAGCGGUGAAAUGCGUAGAUAUUAGGAGGAACACCAGUGGCGAAGGCGACUUUCUGGACUGUAACUGACACUGAGGCACGAAAGCGUGGGGAGCAAACAGGAUUAGAUACCC
This 419-nucleotide ribosomal RNA is filed under the name uncultured bacterium. RNAcentral describes it as "bacterial SSU rRNA". It matches the Rfam family "Bacterial small subunit ribosomal RNA", at positions 355 to 787 of the family's 1533-position model. The record is from RNAcentral.